This is a long non-coding RNA of Macrobrachium nipponense, 748 nucleotides long. RefSeq lists it as uncharacterized. Lineage: Eukaryota; Metazoa; Arthropoda; Malacostraca; Decapoda; Palaemonidae. The record is from RefSeq and is a predicted model, not a curated record. The transcript has 3 exons.
CAUUAGCAGUUUCAUCAGCGCCUUACACGUUGGUGUAUGCAGGUGUCUGGGGCUACAAUGGAUUCUUAUCAGCAGCAUGUAUAACUUUCUUUUAUGGUGCCAAACCCAAAGAUGAUAAUCAUGGCAGCCAUUAACGCUGUCUUUACAUCUUGUCUUCAGGCUGCAAUCGUUCCUGUAUUCUCAGCGAAUAACCUGCCAGUAUUCACAUACCCUUUCUGUCUAAGCUCACUUUGUUUUCUGGCUCUAACUACGAACGCAGGAAUGGGAAGCCAGAGAGUUGCGAACCCUACAUACCCAGAACAUCAUCUUGCUCUUUAUCUCGAGACGUCUGAGGGUAUCAACGACUAGACCAGUCACGCCAACGAGAACAUACUAUGCAAGUUCAGCAACAAAAAAUUUGAAGUUAACAUGAAUUACACAAGAAUUACACCAAGACAUGUCAAAAUAUUCACUAUAAUUGUUGAUGCAAGAAUCAAGUGAUACUGUUAAAGGCCGAUUCACUGACAUUCUGGCAAGUCUAAUCUGACUCCAAUGGUCCGAUUGGAUUAAUUCUGGAAUCCCCUACUACUAUAUCAACGUAAAAACUAUGCUUUAUCCGAGGCUAAACUCUGCAAAAGUCUGAGGCCAAACUCUGACAAAGCAUACUAGGCUAAAGUCCUAUUCAAGAUCUUCCAAACAUUAGCUGUAAGAAUAUUCUAUAUGCAAAAAGUGAUGUAGCAAACAGGAGCAAGAAAAAUAAAAAUGAAAG